Aedes aegypti (yellow fever mosquito) is the source of this 184-nucleotide long non-coding RNA. RefSeq lists it as uncharacterized. The transcript has 2 exons. NCBI's taxonomy places the organism in Eukaryota, Metazoa, Arthropoda, Insecta, Diptera, Culicidae. The record is from RefSeq and is a predicted model, not a curated record.
GUGAUUCUCAAACGAAAAAUAACGAUCUUUCGCCAAAUUUACAGCAUGUACCAAAAAUUAUUACACUUGACAGUUAAAGUUAGCCAUAACCCUAGACACAAAACGAACGUAUCAUUUUUCCCCUGAAGAAGACGCCAUACCAGCGUCGAAACGUCGGGUUAAAUAAUAAAACUCGUUUUUAACA